CAAGAUAUAGCUAGGUUAGUAAGCCACUCUUUUACACAGAGUUGAGAUUCGUGCAAGUCGGAUUAUUUUGA
RNAcentral lists this transfer RNA (71 nucleotides) under Araeosoma owstoni. RNAcentral describes it as "tRNA-Val". Lineage: Eukaryota; Metazoa; Echinodermata; Echinoidea; Echinothurioida; Echinothuriidae. The record is from RNAcentral.